GGAUUAUGAGGCAUUGUGAGUGGGCCUACGCAGUUUACUGGACUCAGGAAAGUCCCCGGGCGAUGGCUGCAGAGAUGCAGGCUCGGUCACGAGUAUUUACGAGCUGGGACUUGUUUCGUUCGCUAGAGCGAGUGGCUGAGACCCGUGUGGAGCCAUUGCAAGUCCUGUGACGUAUAAAUUGGCCGAUAUCACAGUCAUUCUCAAGGUCCUAUUGACUAACAUAACGGGGCUUAUGCCCUCGUGAUC
Non-coding RNA from Cajanus cajan (pigeon pea), 246 nucleotides. It matches the Rfam family "RNase MRP". Rfam says of the family: RNase MRP is an enzymatically active ribonucleoprotein with two distinct roles in eukaryotes. In mitochondria it plays a direct role in the initiation of mitochondrial DNA replication. In the nucleus it is involved in precursor rRNA processing, where it cleaves the internal transcribed spacer 1 between 18S and 5.8S rRNAs. The record is from Rfam. NCBI's taxonomy places the organism in Eukaryota, Viridiplantae, Streptophyta, Magnoliopsida, Fabales, Fabaceae.